This 28-nucleotide non-coding RNA is filed under the name Mus musculus (house mouse). Lineage: Eukaryota; Metazoa; Chordata; Mammalia; Rodentia; Muridae. The record is from RNAcentral.
UAACCUGUCCGUCAGCAUUACAGACUGA